RNAcentral lists this ribosomal RNA (166 nucleotides) under uncultured bacterium. RNAcentral's name for it is "partial 16S rRNA". It matches the Rfam family "Bacterial small subunit ribosomal RNA", at positions 355 to 511 of the family's 1533-position model. The record is from RNAcentral.
UAGGGAAUCUUCGGGCAAUGGACGAAAGUCUGACCGAGCAACGCCGCGUGAGUGAAGAAGGUUUUUCGGAUCGUAAAACUCUGUUGUUAGAGAAGAACAAGGGUGAGAGUAACUGUUCACCCCUUGACGGUAUCUAACCAGAAAGCCACGGCUAACUACGUGCCAG